This 433-nucleotide ribosomal RNA is filed under the name uncultured bacterium. Its description in RNAcentral is "partial 16S ribosomal RNA". It matches the Rfam family "Bacterial small subunit ribosomal RNA", at positions 29 to 507 of the family's 1533-position model. The record is from RNAcentral.
AACGAACGCUGGCGGCAGGCCUAACACAUGCAAGUCGAGCGAGGACUUCGGUCCUAGCGGCGGACGGGUGAGUAACGCGUGGGAACGUGCCCUUUGCUUCGGAAUAGCCCUGGGAAACUGAGAGUAAUACCGGAUGAGCCCUUUGGGGGAAAGAUUUAUCGGCGAAGGAUCGGCCCGCGUUGGAUUAGGUAGUUGGUGGGGUAAUGGCCUACCAAGCCGACGAUCCAUAGCUGGUUUGAGAGGAUGAUCAGCCACACUGGGACUGAGACACGGCCCAGACUCCUACGGGAGGCAGCAGUGGGGAAUCUUAGACAAUGGGGGAAACCCUGAUCUAGCCAUGCCGCGUGAGCGAUGAAGGCCUUAGGGUUGUAAAGCUCUUUCAGCUGGGAAGAUAAUGACGGUACCAGCAGAAGAAGCCCCGGCUAACUCCGUG